This 468-nucleotide ribosomal RNA is filed under the name uncultured bacterium. RNAcentral's name for it is "partial 16S ribosomal RNA". It matches the Rfam family "Bacterial small subunit ribosomal RNA", at positions 28 to 507 of the family's 1533-position model. The record is from RNAcentral.
GACGAACGCUGGCGGCGUGCUUAACACAUGCAAGUCGAACGGAAAGGCCCUGCUUUUGUGUGGUGCUCGAGUGGCGAACGGGUGAGUAACACGUGAGUAACCUGCCCUUGACUUUGGGAUAACUUCAGGUAACUGGGGCUAAUACCUGAUAGGAGCUCCUGCUGCAUGGUGGGGGUUGGAAAGUUUCGGCGGUUGGGGAUGGACUCGCGGCUUAUCAGCUUGUUGGUGGGGUAGUGGCUUACCAAGGCUUUGACGGGUAGCCGGCCUGAGAGGGUGACCGGGGACAAUGGGACUGAGAUACGGCCCAGACUCCUACGGGAGGCAGCAGUGGGGAGUAUUGCACAGUGGGCGGAAGCGUGAUGCAGAAACGCCGCGUGCGGGAUGACGGCCUGCGGGUUGUAAACAGCUUUCGCCUGAGACGAAGCGUGAGUGACGGUAAUGGGAAAAGAAGCACCGGCUAACUACGUG